RNAcentral lists this transfer RNA (88 nucleotides) under Melampsora larici-populina 98AG31. RNAcentral's name for it is "tRNA-Asn for anticodon GUU". It matches the Rfam family "tRNA". Rfam says of the family: Transfer RNA (tRNA) molecules are approximately 80 nucleotides in length. Their secondary structure includes four short double-helical elements and three loops (D, anti-codon, and T loops). The record is from Rfam by way of RNAcentral. Lineage: Eukaryota; Fungi; Basidiomycota; Pucciniomycetes; Pucciniales; Melampsoraceae.
GUCUCCAUGGCGCAACUGGUUAGCGCGUCUGACUGUUAUUUGGCCGGUUGCAAUCAGGAGGUUGGCAGUUCAAUCCUGCCUGGGGACG